This 237-nucleotide long non-coding RNA is filed under the name Trifolium pratense (red clover). RNAcentral's name for it is "long non-coding RNA (TPRA_LNC007539)". Lineage: Eukaryota; Viridiplantae; Streptophyta; Magnoliopsida; Fabales; Fabaceae. The record is from RNAcentral.
GGCUGAAUUGAAAAGGUUAACCAUGUUCAAUCAUGCUGGAUUUGAACUUGCUAGGCUGGAAGAAAUUGCUGCUGUUGAACACCGUCUGAAUGCCUUCAAAAUCAUCUGGAUAGACUCCAAGCUGUUUCCGAGUCUUGAAGCUCAGAGGUCUGAGUCUGAAAGGUUAGAAGGAGCUGCUGCUAGAGUUGCCGAGUUGGCAAAUGAGCUACAUAAUGAGGAUGCCACAGAAGAGGAUGU